AUGGCCACCGCUAUCAGUGCGGCAGUGUGGGCAUUGCGCAAGGCGCUGGCUCCCGUUACGGAUGACUUUCUCAAGGAUUGGGCGGCCAGCGACAGUCUCGGCCCCAACAUCACCGCCCUCAAGAUGGAGCUGCUGCGCGCACAGGGGAUCCUCUAUAACGCGCAUGACAGGGAGAUCACCAACCCUGCGCUCCAGGACCUGUUGCACAUGUUGCGGCAGCUGGCGGACGGGGCCGAAGACGUGCUUGAUGAACUGGACUACUUCCGCAUCCAGGACAAGCUCGACAGCACCUACCAUGCAGCUGAUAAGCAUGCCGGUGGCUGCACCCAUGGCCUCGCUCUGAACGCGCGGCACACUGCCAGAGCUGUUGCCAACAAAUUCAAGUUCUCCUCGGGCGGCAACAAGCAGACACCAAAAUUGAAGUUUGAUCGUGUGGAUAUGUCUAAAAGGAUGGCAGACAUUGUACAGCAGCUGGAUCCUAUAUGUGCUAAGGUGAAGGAAAUCCUUGAUCUAGAGCUUCGGAACCUCAAACCUGCCUAA
Molecule: ribosomal RNA, 540 nt
Filed under: Triticum aestivum (bread wheat)
Lineage: Eukaryota; Viridiplantae; Streptophyta; Magnoliopsida; Poales; Poaceae
Description: partial small subunit ribosomal RNA
Source: RNAcentral